GGGCCAUUAGCUUAGUUGGUAGAGCAUCUGACUCUUAAUCAGAGGGUCGAAGGUUCGAGUCCUUCAUGGCCCACCA
RNAcentral lists this transfer RNA (76 nucleotides) under Neobacillus paridis. RNAcentral's name for it is "tRNA-Lys". It matches the Rfam family "tRNA". Rfam says of the family: Transfer RNA (tRNA) molecules are approximately 80 nucleotides in length. Their secondary structure includes four short double-helical elements and three loops (D, anti-codon, and T loops). RNAcentral also lists the same sequence under 1 other name. The record is from RNAcentral. Lineage: Bacteria; Bacillati; Bacillota; Bacilli; Caryophanales; Bacillaceae.